GGGUAGAUGGCGAAAUUGGUAUACGCAUUAUAUUCAAAAUAUAACGGCUUUAGUCAUGAGGGUUCGAGUCCCUUUCUACCUA
This 82-nucleotide transfer RNA is filed under the name Crouania attenuata. RNAcentral describes it as "tRNA-Leu". It matches the Rfam family "tRNA". From Rfam's summary of the family: Transfer RNA (tRNA) molecules are approximately 80 nucleotides in length. Their secondary structure includes four short double-helical elements and three loops (D, anti-codon, and T loops). Further hydrogen bonds mediate the characteristic L-shaped molecular structure. tRNAs have two regions of fundamental functional importance: the anti-codon, which is responsible for specific mRNA codon recognition, and the 3' end, to which the tRNAs corresponding amino acid is attached (by aminoacyl-tRNA synthetases). tRNAs cope with the degeneracy of the genetic code in two manners: having more than one tRNA (with a specific anti-codon) for a particular amino acid; and 'wobble' base-pairing, i.e. permitting non-standard base-pairing at the 3rd anti-codon position. The record is from RNAcentral. Lineage: Eukaryota; Rhodophyta; Florideophyceae; Ceramiales; Callithamniaceae.